GACUCGAUGGCGGAGGGUCCGCGCCUGCUCUCAAUUCUGGAAAGACACACUGUUCAGCAGGAGCCGCCGGGUCGAUUCCGGCUCGAGUGA
This is a non-coding RNA of Mycena rosella, 90 nucleotides long. The record is from the annotation of a GenBank genome assembly. Lineage: Eukaryota; Fungi; Basidiomycota; Agaricomycetes; Agaricales; Mycenaceae.